Molecule: transfer RNA, 74 nt
Filed under: Candidatus Woesebacteria bacterium
Lineage: Bacteria; Candidatus Woeseibacteriota
Description: tRNA-Gly
Rfam family: tRNA
About the family: Transfer RNA (tRNA) molecules are approximately 80 nucleotides in length. Their secondary structure includes four short double-helical elements and three loops (D, anti-codon, and T loops).
Source: RNAcentral
GCGGCUAUGGUUCAAUGGUAGAAUGAAUCCUUCCCAAGGAUUAGGCGCGAGUUCGAUUCUCGCUAGCCGCUCCA